This 871-nucleotide long non-coding RNA is filed under the name Rattus norvegicus (Norway rat). RNAcentral describes it as "long non-coding RNA NONRATT009300". The record is from RNAcentral. Lineage: Eukaryota; Metazoa; Chordata; Mammalia; Rodentia; Muridae.
GGAUCUUGGUGGCUAAGGGGACAGGGUUGAAUGAAAAGUUCCGCAAGACUCUCAGAAGUCACCGCCUGAACAGCAAACCUGAAUAACCGGGACAGACGUAAGGUCGGGCGACUUUCAGUGGUUCCCGCCUGCCCACGCUGCAGGUUUUUCAGGUCCCUGCUUGACCGUCACUCCCAGGCGUAAAUAAACGUGCGAUCAGCAGCCGUGUCAGCCAGCAGGCUAUUUAAGCAGGCACCAGCAUCUGCUGCUCCCCAGCCCAGCGCUCGCCCAGUCUUCAUACGCUCACGGACCAUGUCGGCGCAGACUGCGAGCGGCCCCACGGAGGACCAGGUGGAGAUCCUGGAGUACAACUUCAACAAGGUCAACAAGCACCCCGACCCCACCACGCUGUGCCUCAUCGCAGCCGAGGCGGGCCUCACGGAGGAGCAGACGCAGAAAUGGUUUAAGCAGCGCCUGGCGGAGUGGCGGCGGUCAGAAGGCCUGCCUUCGGAAUGCAGAUCGGUCACGGACUAGGGAGCCAGGCCCUUGAGCUUGCUCCCGGAACUUCCGUGCCUCAGUUUACCCAGGCUGUUUUGAUGUUUCAGUGCAGUGUUGAAUGUCUCAUUGUUUGCUGUCCUGCUGUUUAACACAAUGUGUUUUUUGAAUGUAUAUAACUAAAGAAACAAAAUAACAGGAAGCUAAAUGCAGUUCUGUGUAAAGCGAUGGCUUGGCCGGGAGAGGGGUGUGGCUUACGUUUCUCUUUGGAUUUUAAUGAAAGAUGAUGUGGGAGCAGUUUUUGUUUGCCCUUGACCGCCACUUUCCAAUCCGUAUGUACCACCAUCCGUUUCAGAGCAUUCCAGAGCUGCCUGGCUUCUGUUGAGAAGUUAAAGGA